RNAcentral lists this ribosomal RNA (484 nucleotides) under uncultured bacterium. RNAcentral's name for it is "partial 16S ribosomal RNA". It matches the Rfam family "Bacterial small subunit ribosomal RNA", at positions 28 to 507 of the family's 1533-position model. The record is from RNAcentral.
AUUGAACGCUGGCGGCAUGCUUUACACAUGCAAGUCGAACGGCAGCGCGGGCUUCGGCCUGGCGGCGAGUGGCGAACGGGUGAGUAAUGCAUCGGAACGUGCCCAGUAGUGGGGGAUAGUCCGGCGAAAGCCGGAUUAAUACCGCAUACGACCUGAGGGUGAAAGCGGGGGACCGAAAGGCCUCGCGCUAUUGGAGCGGCCGAUGUCGGAUUAGCUAGUUGGUGGGGUAAAGGCUUACCAAGGCGACGAUCCGUAGCUGGUCUGAGAGGACGACCAGCCACACUGGGACUGAGACACGGCCCAGACUCCUACGGGAGGCAGCAGUGGGGAAUUUUGGACAAUGGGGGCAACCCUGAUCCAGCCAUGCCGCGUGCGGGAAGAAGGCCUUCGGGUUGUAAACCGCUUUUGUUCGGGAAGAAAUCCUCUGGGCUAAUACCCCGGGGGGAUGACGGUACCGGAAGAAUAAGCACCGGCUAGCUACGUG